This is a long non-coding RNA of Enhydra lutris kenyoni (northern sea otter), 1508 nucleotides long. RefSeq lists it as uncharacterized. The record is from RefSeq and is a predicted model, not a curated record. The transcript is spliced from 3 exons. NCBI's taxonomy places the organism in Eukaryota, Metazoa, Chordata, Mammalia, Carnivora, Mustelidae.
AGGACUACAAGAUCAUGACCUGAGCUGAAGGGGAAAAUGUCCCAAGUGAGAUCUGCUACCAUUGUUCCUGCUCAACCAAAGCCAUUUACUUCAUCAGAUACUAUGCCGAGCCCAGGUCUCUUCAAGUACACAUUGGGGAAGUAUCUUAAAGGCAUAAAGGGUGACCAGAUAGACUGGGAAAAGACUCUUGACGGGCAAGGGGCAGAAGAAAUGGAAGUAAACAUAUAAUAAUUUUGUUUAAGACGAGUAGAAUAGGAACAAAAUAGGCACAUAUUUGAAAAGGAAAUCACUCUUGAACUCACUUCCACUAUUUGUCCAACAAGUUAGACAAUGUUAAUGCAAGAUUACACUGAGUCUGCUCCCGCCAGGGAGAUAGCUCUACAAGAAAAAAAUGAGAUAAACCACAUAACUUCUCUUGAACACAUCCAAGAGCUAAGGUUUCAGGUCAGCUAAGUACUCUCAGGAGAGACAGACCUUCCCAAGGAGAGACAGGGAAGAGCCGUAGCUGACCUGUGGCAGAGCCUGGCAGGAGGAGACACCAGAUACCAUGUAUACCUGUAAGAAGAAUUCAGGUAAAUUUUUAAUGAACUGCCAAAGGCUUAUGUGAGGUAACAAGAAGUGUAGAAUCCCUGAAAGUGCAGACACAAUGGGAAUUUACACCCACUAGCAGGCUCUUCUCAGAAUUUACCAGGUGCUCCAGAGAGACCAGAAGCAGAGAUGCAGGCUUGGAAAGGGAGCAGCCAUCACUACAAGAAAGGCGUGGAGCUCUGCCCAGACCCUACUUCCUUAGAGUCAAAAGCCCUAGGGAGAAGGGCAGCACCCUUGCAGGGAACACGCGAAGACCACAGAAGACCACGGUGAUUGAGAUAAAGGUAAAAACAAACAAACAAACAAAACUUCUAGUCCUAGGGGAAGGGCAGGACACUCUUCCCUGCAAAGAACCUGCAAAAGAUGUGGGCGAUUGGCUACUCUCAGAAUCACCGAGAAGACCCAACUCCCCCAAGACUUGGGGCAUAGGGCCCGCUUAGGAGUAGGGCAGGACCUGCACAGCAGAAAACCUUCCUCAACCUCCACCUCAAUCCUCCACCCACCAGGAAACCCCAAGAAUCAAGGAAUAGCUUCCUUCCAUGGUAGAAAGACCCUUCGAGGGCUCAGGACCACAGGAAAGGCUGCACAGACAGGACGGAGCAGAAAUGCUGAGAAAAGCCCUCCAGCAACCUAGCGCCUUGCCCUGCCCUCCAUAUUACAAGUACUGAAAACCAGAGUCAUAAAGAAAAUUUUGAAGGCAGCCAGAGAAAGAAGACAUUAAAUGCAGAAGAGCAAAGAUGGGAAUUACAUACCAGCCUUCUUGCUGGAACUGCAAACCAGAAGACAGUGAGUGACAUCUUUCAAGUGCUGAAAGAAAAUAAUGGUCUAAUGAUAGAGACCAAACUGAGGGUAGGGCUUUAUUACCUUUACUACCUCCCAGACAAUCAAAGGAUCUUAGAACCCCUUAACACAGGGCGCCU